UUUUACUAUUUGCACUCCCAAAUUCACUUUUUAACACUUAGUCCGAUGGUCCAAAAUAAUCCAACACUUUUUUACUUCUUAACCACCUACUUUUCUUAUUGCACCCCACUCUCCACAUCACCUUCCACGUCACCCUCCACAUCACCUACCUUUUUCAUUUACUAUUACAUUUUUUAUAUAUUUAUUUUUUAUUUAAUUUUUUUUCCAACUUUUCUAAUUUUUCCACUUACCUUUUUUAAUUAUAGUUUAUUUCACUUAAUUUCUCCAUCCACUUUUUAUAUUUCUUUCACUUAUUUUCCAUGUUAGCUUUUAUUAUUUACUAUAUUUUAUUUCACUUACUUUCUCUACCCACUUUUUAUAUUAUUUCUUUUACUUAUUUUCUAUAUUAACUUUUACUAUUUACUAUAUUUUAGUUCACCUACUUUCUCGACCAACUUUUUAUAUUAUUUCUUUCACUUAUUUUUCAUGUUAAAUUUCACUAUAAACUAUAUUUUAUUUCACCUACUUUCUUCACCAACUUUUUAUAUCAUUUCUUUCACUUAUUUUCAACAUUAACUUUUUCUAUUCACUUUUUUUAUUAUAUUUUAUUUCACCUAAUUUCUGCACCCACUUUUAUAUUAUUUCUUUCACUUAUUUUCCACAUUAGCUUUUACUAUUUACUAUAUUUUAUUUCCCCUAAUUUCUCCACCAAUUUUUUAUGUUAUUUCUUUUACUUAUUUUCUACAUUAACUUUUUCUAUUCACUUUUUUUAUUAUAUUUUAUUUCACAUAAUUUCUCCACCCACUUUUAAUAUUAUUUCUUUUGAUUAUUUUCCAACUUUUUCUAUUUUUCCUCCCACUUUUUAAAAAUUUAUAUUUUAUUCAACACUUUCUCUAAUCUUAACUCUAUAAAUACCCACAUGCUCUUUACUCAAUUUUUUACUUACACACACAUCUCUUUUCUACCACUCCAUCAUUCUUCAACAACAUAUCCCCUAUUCCUUCAUACCAUUAUUAUUCCCUAUUAUUACCUUAAUUCCAUCAAUCUUAUCAUAUUAUCUUCAUUCUCAAUUCUCCCUCUCCAUACUGCACCAUCAUCAAACACUUCAACACUUCCCUUCUCCUCCAUAUUACCAUCUCCAUAAGCUUCCAUUCUUACCGACAUCUUAAUUGGACUAUUUUUGUUUUCUCCAUCCAGGUUUUUAUUCCUUCACCUCCCUUUUUC
This 1203-nucleotide long non-coding RNA is filed under the name Vigna radiata. Its description in RNAcentral is "long non-coding RNA (VRAD_LNC012404)". Lineage: Eukaryota; Viridiplantae; Streptophyta; Magnoliopsida; Fabales; Fabaceae. The record is from RNAcentral.